RNAcentral lists this long non-coding RNA (2012 nucleotides) under Piliocolobus tephrosceles (Ugandan red Colobus). RNAcentral's name for it is "lncRNA (ENSPTEG00000023072.1)". The record is from RNAcentral. Lineage: Eukaryota; Metazoa; Chordata; Mammalia; Primates; Cercopithecidae.
GAUGAUAAUGAUGAUAAUGAUGAUAAUGAUGAUAAUAACGAUAGUUAUAACAAUUGUAGUAAUAAUCUGAAUAAUGAUGAUAAUAACGAAAAUAUAAAAGAUAACUGCGAAGAAUAUAACAUGUUUAAUGAAAAUACUACAAGCGUGGAAAAAAAUUAUACAGUUGAAGAUAAUGUACUAGAAGAUGGAUAUUGUAGUGAACAAGUUAAUGUGGCCUAUAAUUAUUCAGAUGAUAAUUUAAUUGAAAAUAAUAAUAUAUCUGAAUGUUCGAUAGAAACAGAUGCAAUUGAUGAACAAAACACAAAUAAUAACAUUGAAGAAACUGAUAUAAAAUCAGAAUCUAUAUUUACUGACACGGAGAAAGAUAUAAAUGAUAACAGCCAUAAAAAUAAACAAAACGAAAAAAACAAAAAAAACGAAAAAAAUAAUGUAACACGUAGUGAUAGUAAAUAUAAUUUUAUAAAACAAAAUAAAUAUAAAAUUAUGAAUAAAAAUAAAAGCAAAAUUGAAUCCAUUCAAUCAUCAUCAGCAUCAUCAUCAGCAACGUCUAAUAGCAAAAUCAAUCUGAGUAAUAAAAAUAUAAACAACAUGAACAUUACACACAGGAACAAUAAUAACUAUAGUGGUAAUAAUUGCAGUAAUAACAAAAGUAAUAUCAACAAAGGUAAUGUGAACAAAAGUAAUAUCAACAACAAUAACAUAAAAACGGUAAAGAAAGACUUUAAAGAGAGUUAUAAGAAACUCAUUGUGUAUAAUCACCGAAUAAAUAAUAACAAUAAAACAAACAUAAAUACAGAUAAAAUAGAUACUAGAAUAGUAGAUAAUAAUAUUAAAAAUGAAAAAUACCAUAAUAAAACAAAUGUACAAAGUAGUAAUAUACCAAAAAAUAAAAGCAUUCCUAAUAGUCAUUUAAAUACACUAAAUAGUUAUAAAAAAAUAAUAGUCUCGGAAAAAAAAGAUUAUAAUAAUAAGAAUAAUAAUAACAGUAAUAAUAAUAAUUACAAUAGACCAUUAUUAAAAAAAACGCAACAAAAUGUAGGUCGUUCCAAUAUAAAACAUAAUAUACCUCUUCAAAAUAAACAACAUACGAAAAAUAUAAAUUCUGUAACAAAUACAACAAGCAAUAGUUUAUUAGAGGAGAAAGUAAAAGAACCGAACAGCUCAAAUUCUGAAUAUAAUGUGGAAAAAAUAAACGAAAUAUAUGUAACAAAACAUACAGAUGAAUGUAGUGACUUGUCAAAUGGAGAAGAAGCAUCUGUUCCUGAUGCAACUACAUCUAUUGAAAUGGAUAAAAUAGAAAAUACAAUUGAGUCAACGGAUGAAGUGAGUGAUAAUACUAUUAGUAGAGAAACAAUGGAAGAAGAUGGUGAGAAAGUAAAAGGAACACAAUUACCACGUACUAUAAAUGUAGUAAAACCAAAUAAACCUACAUCAUCAUUUAAAGAAAUGAAUACACAAAAAGGAUUGUUGAGUAAAAUUAGUAAAAAAGUUUUUGGUUCUUAUAAAACUGACAAUACUAACAAAACGAAUGUUACUAGUAAUAACAAUAAUAGCGUAAAAGAUGCAUCCCAAAUAAAAAAUAAAUACAGUUCAAAUGUGACGCAGUCAUUUAGAUUGAACAAGAUAAAAUAUAAUAAUAAUAAUAAUAAUAAUAAUAAUAGCAAUGACAACAAUCAUAGUAGCAAUAAUAUUAGUAGAAAUAAUACCAUUAACAAUAAUACUAAUAACAACAAUAACGAUAGAUUUAAUAAUAAAGAAAAAGGGAAAUUGCAUACAAAACAAAGUGAAAGUAGUAGUAACAAUUUUGUAUUUAACAAAAAUAAAAAUAUGUUACAAAAAGAGGCGAUAAAUAAAACUAAAGUCCCUAGUUCACUUACACAAAAAUGUAUUAACAAUAGUAGCUGUAGCAAUAGUGUAACUAAUGCAAAAAUAAAUACAACAUAUAAACGAACAUAUACACAAUUAAAUACGAAUAUAAAAGGGAAACCAUUCAAUAAAGAAAAAAAUGGUAA